RNAcentral lists this ribosomal RNA (587 nucleotides) under Streptomyces flaveolus. RNAcentral describes it as "bacterial SSU rRNA". It matches the Rfam family "Bacterial small subunit ribosomal RNA", at positions 241 to 838 of the family's 1533-position model. The record is from RNAcentral. Lineage: Bacteria; Bacillati; Actinomycetota; Actinomycetes; Kitasatosporales; Streptomycetaceae.
UCAGCUUGUUGGUGAGGUAACGGCUCACCAAGGCGACGACGGGUAGCCGGCCUGAGAGGGCGACCGGCCACACUGGGACUGAGACACGGCCCAGACUCCUACGGGAGGCAGCAGUGGGGAAUAUUGCACAAUGGGCGAAAGCCUGAUGCAGCGACGCCGCGUGAGGGAUGACGGCCUUCGGGUUGUAAACCUCUUUCAGCAGGGAAGAAGCGAAAGUGACGGUACCUGCAGAAGAAGCGCCGGCUAACUACGUGCCAGCAGCCGCGGUAAUACGUAGGGCGCAAGCGUUGUCCGGAAUUAUUGGGCGUAAAGAGCUCGUAGGCGGCUUGUCACGUCGGUUGUGAAAGCCCGGGGCUUAACCCCGGGUCUGCAGUCGAUACGGGCAGGCUAGAGUUCGGUAGGGGAGAUCGGAAUUCCUGGUGUAGCGGUGAAAUGCGCAGAUAUCAGGAGGAACACCGGUGGCGAAGGCGGAUCUCUGGGCCGAUACUGACGCUGAGGAGCGAAAGCGUGGGGAGCGAACAGGAUUAGAUACCCUGGUAGUCCACGCCGUAAACGGUGGGCACUAGGUGUGGGCAACAUUCCACGUU